Molecule: ribosomal RNA, 327 nt
Filed under: uncultured eukaryote
Lineage: Eukaryota
Description: partial 18S ribosomal RNA
Rfam family: Eukaryotic small subunit ribosomal RNA
Source: RNAcentral
CCCUUAGAUGUUCUGGGCCGCACACGCGCUACACUGAAGGAGGCAGCGUGGACUCCUGGAUCGAAAGAUUUGGGUAACCCGCGAAUCUCCUUCGUGCUAGGGAUUGAGGUUUGCAAUUAUCCUUCAUGAACGAGGAAUUCCCAGUAAGUGCAAGUCAUAAGCUUGCGCUGACUACGUCCCUGCCCUUUGUACACACCGCCCGUCGCUACUACCGAUUGAAUGAUUUAGUGAGGACUUCGGACUGGGACCGAUGCGGCUUUCGGGCUGCGUCGGUAUUCUGGAAAGAUGUCCAAACUGUAUCAUUUAGAGGAAGUAAAAGUCGUAACA